This 460-nucleotide ribosomal RNA is filed under the name uncultured bacterium. Its description in RNAcentral is "partial 16S ribosomal RNA". It matches the Rfam family "Bacterial small subunit ribosomal RNA", at positions 338 to 795 of the family's 1533-position model. The record is from RNAcentral.
CCUACGGGGGGCAGCAGUGAGGAAUAUUGGUCAAUGGGCGGAAGCCUGAACCAGCCAAGUAGCGUGCAGGAUGACGGCCCUACGGGUUGUAAACUUCUUUUAUACGGGAAUAACGCGCCUUACGUGUAGGGCUUUGCAUGUACCGUAUGAAUAAGGACCGGCUAAUUCCGUGCCAGCAGCCGCGGUAAUACGGAGGGUCCGGGCGUUAUCCGGAUUUAUUGGGUUUAAAGGGAGCGUAGGCCGCAUGUCAAGCGUGCUGUGAAAUGUCCGGGGUCAACCCGGGCCUUGCAGUGCAAACUGGCGUGCUUGAGUCGGAGGGAAGCAGGCGGAAUUCGUGGUGUAGCGGUGAAAUGCAUAGAUAGGGCGAAGAACCCCGAUUGCGAAGGCAGCUUGCUGGAGCGGCACUGACGCUGAUGCACGAAAGCGCGGGUAUCGAACAGGAUUAGAUACCCGAGUAGUC